Molecule: unclassified non-coding RNA, 2574 nt
Filed under: Leishmania donovani
Lineage: Eukaryota; Euglenozoa; Kinetoplastea; Trypanosomatida; Trypanosomatidae
Description: gene:LdHU3.34.0150(CDS-product:hypothetical_prote in_conserved)
Source: RNAcentral
UGCGCGCGUGAGAACAAUCAGAGGCGGCACUCUCGCUAUCGCUAGCAGCAACGCUGGCCCUUCCUGCUUUCAAGUUUGUGAGGGUUGCGGUGGGCGAUAGUGCACCGCUUACAGGACCUUAUUUCGUACUCGAAGUGUGAGAGGGUACGACAUUACGCACUCCCGCGACACCGUUGCCACACAGCUGCCCAGCUUCUUUGAGCGUCUGGUAAUUGGUUCCCUUGGCCGCCGUGAUCGGCAACAAGCACCGCGCAACCUGGCGGCGUCUCUCUGAGUUAUUUAAGCGAGAGCGGCUCAUUGCUGACGCCAUGACGGCCCACGCCGCUGUGAUACCGUGCCUGCAGAGGUACGCGCGCCUCAGCGCUAGCGUCUUUGCUAGCCCCGAUGACGCCGAGACCCAAGCAGCGCUUUCACUUUUGCUCCAGUACCUGUCACUUCAGAGUUGCAACACCAGCGAGGUCGAAGCGCUCGAGCAGUGGUGUCGCAAGCAAGGGAACGAAGAACGGUUGAAGAAGUGCGGCGGUGAGGUCACGGCAGUGGUGAAGCGACGUGUUACGCAGCGGGCUCGCGUGCUCUCCGAGGCCGUGGCUAACAGGCAGGAUAUGCUCGUGACAGAUGCGCGAAGCACCGGGGUGCCCGCCGUUGUAUGCUCCGCUGGCGCACAUGACAGUGGGCGUAGCGGGACAGCGACACUGGUGCAGUGGUGGCACCUCAGCGACGAUGACCCGUGGAACUUCACCGCGUCCGCGUCCUGCUCACAGGCUACGCGGGGCUGGAGCGACGGAUACCGAUUUGUUUGCCUGAAGGAGGCGCUCACGUUGGUGGGGCCCUACCUCGACCUAAUGCGGCAGGCUGCCGCCACGGGAGACUGGGAAAGCGUCUCGCGCCUCUUCAUCGAGGCGACGAGCUACGUCAACCGCGUCUCCUUCAGGGACGAUCCGGCGGCCAUCUUCGGGUCUCUAGAGCUGUCGCGGUUGCACCUCGCUCUAACUUUUGCCAGCCGCGGCGGUGUCGCUUCAGUAGAGAAAGUGCUACAGCAGGUGCGGGUAAACGACGAUAUGCGACGAGCUGCGGCACUGCUUGACGGGCUUGGCGCGAGGGAGAGAGGCACUGCGGAGCUGCACUCGCCACCCAAUGCGUCGGCGGCCUCGGUUUCCAAAGUGCAGGCAUACUGGCGCUUGAUACUGUCGUACAGCACAUUCUUCAACACUGUCGCCGCCUACGUGGACGGCUCAUUGGGGAGGUUCGAAAGCUGUGCCAAGGCGCUUCUAGGGGACGGUACAGAAACGGGCGCUUGCCUCUGGGGAGCCGCACGGUAUCCUAACAUACACUUCUGCUUGCCACAUUCCACUUCUCGCGUUAGGCAGCCCAACGCUCAGCCAGGCGGACCCAAGACACAGUCGGGCGCGUGCACCGUGAUGCCGGUUCUGUUUCCCUACUCUUCCAGCCACGUCCGCGCCAGCGCCUCGGAUCACUAUCUGGAUGAGUUCGCGCCGUUGGUCACGCGCGUAAUUGCUCCUGCUUCGUCCUUCAGCACUCUUGUCGUACUGUCGGCCGUUGGCACUCUUCCGCUUCACGUGGCACUCACACAGUUGCGCACGUGUGUAGAGUUGCGGGAAGUCUACGAGGGCUGCAGUGAGCUCACCAGCCUCCUCGACGCCCUUUGGCGCGGGCAACUGGGAGUUGCCUGGAGGUGCGCUAAAGAAGCAGCAGCUCGCUACUUGAAUCGUGAACCGCACGUGCAAGACUCUGUCGCGAAGAAGCUGCUCCAAUAUGUGAGGCGUAGUGUCUGCUUCCAUUACCUGCGUGUGCGGCGAACAGCACUCAUAAGCGACGCGGCAGUGGAUUUAGGGUUCGAAUCAUCCGAGGAAGUCGUGGAGACGGCGACUGCCCUCAUCUCCUGCAACUACAUUGACGCACGCAUUGACUUGGUCAAAGGGGCGAUUUGCAGCAAUGAGCUAGACGAGAGGAGUGAGGUGAUGAUGGAGGUCAAGGCCGAGGCAACCGCGCUUGCCAAGCUGAGCUUUUCGGCGCUGAAGGUGCGGCUUGCGUGCUUGUCAGCGGAGCGGAACCUGAUCGCUUUUCCAGGUGAUGGUUGACCGUCUUUGCUGGGCAGCGUAGUUGGGAUCACGGGUGGGCAGGACGGGGACCUUGGAGAAGUGCGCUGAUGUGCGCGGGCGAUGCACCUCCUCAGCCAGCUUAUUCGUUACCCCCCCGACAAAAUGUUGUCUUCAGUUGCUGUGGUGUCAUCUUUCAUGGCUGCUGUUCUGCUCCUGCCUCGUCUGUUUUUUCUUUGCGUGUCGCUGCUUCUGUUGUACCCAUUGGUGGCCUGGGCAUUCCCUUUGCAACUGAGCAGGCUGCAGUAGCUCGAUGGCUUCGGCGGUGCCGGCAUGGACUUGUCUCAACUGUUCGCCACCGACAGAAUAGUGUUGUGUCUCUUUCCCUCUCUCAUCAUCUUUCAUGCUCUGUGUGUCUCCGUCUGCGCGUGCGUGGUUCAUCUGCGUUCGACAUUUUUCGUUUUAGCUGGCUCGCGCCUCUUCCCUUCUGCACCGUCUUCUCGGAGAAUCAGAGCUG